UACGGAAGGCAGCAGUGGGGAAUAUUGCACAAUGGGCGCAAGCCUGAUGCAGCCAUGCCGCGUGUAUGAAGAAGGCCUUCGGGUUGUAAAGUACUUUCAGCGGGGAGGAAGGCGAUGCGGUUAAUAACCGCGUCGAUUGACGUUACCCGCAGAAGAAGCACCGGCUAACUCCGUGCCAGCAGCCGCGGUAAUACGGAGGGUGCAAGCGUUAAUCGGAAUUACUGGGCGUAAAGCGCACGCAGGCGGUCUGUUAAGUCAGAUGUGAAAUCCCCCGGGCUUAACCUGGGAACUGCAUUUUGAAACUGGCAGGCUUGAGUCUUGUAGAGGGGGUAGAAUUCCAGGUGUAGCGGUGAAAUGCGUAGAGAUCUGGAGGAAUACCGGUGGCGAAGGCGGCCCCUGGGACAAAGCUGACGCUCAGGUGCGAAAGCGUGGGGAGCAAACGAGGAUUAGAUACC
Molecule: ribosomal RNA, 455 nt
Filed under: uncultured bacterium
Lineage: Bacteria
Description: bacterial SSU rRNA
Rfam family: Bacterial small subunit ribosomal RNA
Source: RNAcentral